RNAcentral lists this transfer RNA (82 nucleotides) under Pelagococcus subviridis. RNAcentral describes it as "Selenocysteine transfer RNA". It matches the Rfam family "Selenocysteine transfer RNA". The record is from RNAcentral. Lineage: Eukaryota; Pelagophyceae; Pelagomonadales; Pelagomonadaceae.
GGGAGUGACACUCGGUGGUCCGGGUUGCGGACUUCAAAUCCGUAGAGGAGUAGAUGCCUAGUGGUUCGAUUCCACCUCACCC